Molecule: ribosomal RNA, 492 nt
Filed under: uncultured bacterium
Lineage: Bacteria
Description: partial 16S ribosomal RNA
Rfam family: Bacterial small subunit ribosomal RNA
Source: RNAcentral
AGUGAACGCUGGCGGUAGGCCUAACACAUGCAAGUCGAACGGCAGCACAGUAAGAGCUUGCUCUUACGGGUGUCGAGUGGCGGACGGGUGAGGAAUACAUCGGAAUCUACUUUUUCGUGGGGGAUAACGUAGGGAAACUUACGCUAAUACCGCAUACGACCUACUGGUGAAAGCAGGGGAUCUUCGGACCUUUCGCGAUUGAAUGAGCCGAUGUCGGAUUAGCUAGUUGGCGGGGUAAAGGCCCAACAAGGCGACGAUCCGUAGCUGGUCUGAGAGGAUGAUCAGACACACUGGAACUGAGAAAGGGUCCAGACUCCUACGGGAGGAAGCAGUGGGGAAUAUUGGACAAUGGGCGAAAGCCUGAUCCAGCCAUACCGCGUGGGUGAAGAAGGACUUCGGGUUGUAAAGCCAUUUUGUUGGGAAAGAAAAGCAGCAGGUUAAUACCCCGCUGUUCUGACGGUACCCAAAGAAUAAGCACCGGCUAACUUCGUG